UACGUAGGGUGCGAGCGUUAAUCGGAAUUACUGGGCGUAAAGCGCACGUAGGCGGUUUUUUAAGUCAGAUGUGAAAGCCCCGGGCUCAACCUGGGAAUUGCAUUUGAAACUGGGGAACUAGAGUGUGUGAGAGGGGGGUAGAAUUCCAAGUGUAGCGGUGAAAUGCGUAGAGAUUUGGAGGAAUACCAGUGGCGAAGGCGGCCCCCUGGCACAACACUGACGCUCAGGUGCGAAAGCGUGGGGAGCAAACAGG
This 253-nucleotide ribosomal RNA is filed under the name uncultured bacterium. RNAcentral describes it as "partial 16S ribosomal RNA". It matches the Rfam family "Bacterial small subunit ribosomal RNA", at positions 524 to 776 of the family's 1533-position model. The record is from RNAcentral.